AUACCUUUCUAGGCCUUUUUCGCUAAGAUCAAGUGUAGUAUCAUUCUUAUCAGUUUAAUAUACAAUAUAUGGGUCAUUGAUCCACACGAUAUCAACUAAUUUUUUGGAAGUGGAGGUCCACCACGAUAGCUUGCUAUCGGGACCUUCAAAUGUUGCCUUGACAUUGCACUACUGGCUUGCUGGGCACACCCCCA
RNAcentral lists this small nuclear RNA (194 nucleotides) under Solanum tuberosum (potato). Its description in RNAcentral is "snRNA U2". It matches the Rfam family "U2 spliceosomal RNA". From Rfam's summary of the family: U2 is a small nuclear RNA (snRNA) component of the spliceosome (involved in pre-mRNA splicing). Complementary binding between U2 snRNA (in an area lying towards the 5' end but 3' to hairpin I) and the branchpoint sequence (BPS) of the intron results the bulging out of an unpaired adenosine, on the BPS, which initiates a nucleophilic attack at the intronic 5' splice site, thus starting the first of two transesterification reactions that mediate splicing. The record is from Rfam by way of RNAcentral. Lineage: Eukaryota; Viridiplantae; Streptophyta; Magnoliopsida; Solanales; Solanaceae.